This 253-nucleotide ribosomal RNA is filed under the name uncultured bacterium. Its description in RNAcentral is "partial 16S ribosomal RNA". It matches the Rfam family "Bacterial small subunit ribosomal RNA", at positions 524 to 776 of the family's 1533-position model. The record is from RNAcentral.
UACGUAGGAUGCGAGCGUUGUCCGGAAUUACUGGGCGUAAAGAGCGCGUAGGCGGCCCUUAGCGUAGGCGGUGAAAGCCCCCGGCUCACCUGGGGGAGUGCCGCCUAAACGGGGGGGCUAGAGGGCGGUAGGGGCUGGCGGAACGCCCGGAGUAGCGGUGAAAUGCGUUGAGAUCGGGCAGAACACCAGUGGCGAAGGCGGCCAGCUGGGCCGUUACUGACGCUGAGGCGCGAAAGCCAGGGGAGCGAACGGA